AAUUUUGGACAAUGGGGGAAACCCUGAUCCAGCCAUCCCGCGUGUAUGAUGAAGUCCUUCGGGUUGUAAAGUACUUUUGGCAGAGAAAAAAAGGUACCUCCUAAUACGAGGUACUGCUGUCGGUAUCUGCAGAAUAAGCACCGCAUAACUACGUUCCAGCCGCCGCGGUAAUACGUAGGGUGCAAGCGUUAAUCGGAAUUACUGGGCGUAAAGCGUGUGUAGGCGGUUCGGAAAGAAGGAUGUGAAAUCCCAGGGCUCAACCUUGGAACUGCAUUCUUAACUGCCUAGCUAGAGUAUGUCAGAGGGGGGUAGAAUUCCACGUGUAGCAGUGAAAUGCGUAGAUAUGUGGAGGAAUACCGAUGGCGAAGGCAGCCCCCUGGGAUAAUACUGACGCUCAGACACGAAAGCGUGGGGAGCAAACAG
Molecule: ribosomal RNA, 423 nt
Filed under: uncultured bacterium
Lineage: Bacteria
Description: partial 16S ribosomal RNA
Rfam family: Bacterial small subunit ribosomal RNA
Source: RNAcentral